AUUGAACGCUGGCGGCGUGCUUAACACAUGCAAGUCGAACGCGAAAGGGACUUCGGUCCUGAGUAAAGUGGCGCACGGGUGAGUAACGCGUGGAUAAUCUGCCCUUAUGAUCGGGAUAACAGUUGGAAACGGCUGCUAAUACCGGAUACGCUCAAAAUGAACUUUUUGAGGAAAGAUGGCCUCUGCUUGCAUGCUAUCGCGUAAGGAUGAGUCCGCGCCCCAUUAGCUUGUUGGCGGGGUAACGGCCCACCAAGGCAUCGAUGGGUAGCCGAUUUGGAAGGAUGAGCGGCCACACUGGAACUGAAAACCGGUCCAGACUCCUACGGGAGGCAGCAGUGGGGAAUAUUGCGCAAUGGGCGAAAGCCUGACGCAGCGACGCCGCGUGAGGGAUGAAGGUUUUCGGAUCGUAAACCUCUGUCAGAAGGGAAGAAACUACGUUGUGCUAAUCAGCAGCGUACUGACGGUACCUUCAAAGGAAGCACCGGCUAACUCCGUGCCAGCCGCCGCGGUAA
RNAcentral lists this ribosomal RNA (512 nucleotides) under uncultured bacterium. Its description in RNAcentral is "partial 16S ribosomal RNA". It matches the Rfam family "Bacterial small subunit ribosomal RNA", at positions 30 to 523 of the family's 1533-position model. The record is from RNAcentral.